GAUGAACGCUGGCGGCGUGCCUAAUACAUGCAAGUCGAGCGAACGGACGUGAAGCUUGCUUCUCUGAUGUUAGCGGCGGACGGGUGAGUAACACGUGGAUAACCUACCUAUAAGACUGGGAUAACUUCGGGAAACCGGAGCUAAUACCGGAUAAUAUUUUGAACCGCAUGGUUCAAAAGUGAAAGACGGUCUUGCUGUCACUUAUAGAUGGAUCCGCGCUGCAUUAGCUAGUUGGUAAGGUAACGGCUUACCAAGGCAACGAUGCAUAGCCGACCUGAGAGGGUGAUCGGCCACACUGGAACUGAGGCACGGUCCAGACUCCUACGGGAGGCAGCAGUAGGGAAUCUUCCGCAAUGGGCGAAAGCCUGACGGAGCAACGCCGCGUGAGUGAUGAAGGUCUUCGGAUCGUAAAACUCUGUUAUUAGGGAAGAACAUAUGUGUAAGUAACUGUGCACAUCUUGACGGUACCUAAUCAGAAAGCCACGGCUAACUACGUG
This 497-nucleotide ribosomal RNA is filed under the name uncultured bacterium. RNAcentral's name for it is "partial 16S ribosomal RNA". It matches the Rfam family "Bacterial small subunit ribosomal RNA", at positions 28 to 507 of the family's 1533-position model. The record is from RNAcentral.